This 478-nucleotide ribosomal RNA is filed under the name uncultured bacterium. Its description in RNAcentral is "SSU rRNA". It matches the Rfam family "Bacterial small subunit ribosomal RNA", at positions 26 to 523 of the family's 1533-position model. The record is from RNAcentral.
AGGAUGAACGCUGGCGGCGUGCCUAACACAUGCAAGUCGAACGUCCUGUCUCGCAAGAGGCAGGGAGUGGCGGACGGGUGAGUACCACGUGGGUUAUCUACCGUGAGGUGAGGAAUACCGGCGAGAAAUCGCCGACAAGACCGCAUAGCCUCGGUGCAAGCCGAGGAAAGCUUUCUCGAGAGAGGGAGCGCCACACGAGGAGCCUGCGCCCGAUUAGCUAGCUGGUGGAGUAACGGUUCACCAGGGCGACGAUCGGUAGCUGGUCUGAGAGGACGAUCAGCCACACUGGGAUUGAGAACGGCCCAGACUCCUACGGGGGGCAGCAGUGAGGAAUUUUCGCAAUGGGGGCAACCCUGAACGAGCAACGCCGCGUGCAGGAAGAAGGUUUUCGGAUCGUAAACUGCUUUUCUCGGGGAAGAGAACGGACGGUACCCGAGGAAUCGAGCCCCGGCUAACUACGCGCCAGCAGCCGCGGUAA